CAGACUGUUGUCAGUGAUGAAACAUAGUUAAGCUGAAAAUAAUGAUUUAAUUCAGCUCCUUCGUCACUACCACUGAGACAACACAUGG
Molecule: small nucleolar RNA, 88 nt
Organism: Cygnus atratus (black swan)
Lineage: Eukaryota; Metazoa; Chordata; Aves; Anseriformes; Anatidae
Product: small nucleolar RNA SNORD70
Exons: 1
Source: RefSeq, a predicted model, not a curated record